AAACGUUUGACACCAGUCAUGUGGGUGGAAAAUCAGUCUUUUGCAUUGGGGAGUUGUAAAGGUUCGGACCGCAAGGCCGGCUUUUGCUUCAUCUUUGGUGUAAGGGAUGCACUUUUUCAUCUACAGGUCAACAUCAGUUUCUUUUGCUGGACAAAACUCCGAGAGAAGGUAGCAGCUUAGGCUGUGUUAUAGCUCUGGAGCGAUACAGUGAAGGGGACUGAGGUUUUCGCAGCGUGUGCUCUCGGGCAAGGCUGGAUGGGUGCUAUGGGAUCGUUCGGGGUACAAUGCCUGGCAUUUUGCUUCGUGUCUUUUCUAUACUCGCUCAACUCAGCUCUUCCACGCUUAGGAUGUUGACUUAAUGGUUUUAAACGA
This 372-nucleotide ribosomal RNA is filed under the name Podila humilis. Its description in RNAcentral is "LSU rRNA". The record is from RNAcentral. Lineage: Eukaryota; Fungi; Mortierellomycota; Mortierellomycetes; Mortierellales; Mortierellaceae.